GACGAACGCUGGCGGCGCGCCUAACACAUGCAAGUCGAACGGAGCUUAGAGAGCUUGCUUUUUAAGCUUAGUGGCGUACGGGUGAGUAACGCGUGAGUAACCUGCCCUAGAGUGGGGGACAACAGUUGGAAACGACUGCUAAUACCGCAUAAGCCCACGGUACCGCAUGGCACUGAGGGAAAAGGAUUUAUUCGCUUUAGGAUGGACUCGCGUCCAAUUAGCUAGUUGGUGAGGUAACGGCCCACCAAGGCGACGAUUGGUAGCCGGACUGAGAGGUUGAACGGCCACAUUGGGACUGAGACACGGCCCAGACUCCUACGGGAGGCAGCAGUGGGGGAUAUUGCACGAAAUGGGGGAAACCCUGAUGGCAGCGACGCCGCGUGGAGGAAGAAGGUUUCGGAUUGUAAACUCCUGUCGUUAGGGACGAUAAUGACGGUACCUGACGAAUAAGCCACGGCUAACUACGUG
This 468-nucleotide ribosomal RNA is filed under the name uncultured bacterium. RNAcentral's name for it is "bacterial SSU rRNA". It matches the Rfam family "Bacterial small subunit ribosomal RNA", at positions 28 to 507 of the family's 1533-position model. The record is from RNAcentral.